CCCCGGCGAGGGGAGUGAAAAAGAACCUGAAACCGUGUACGUACAAGCAGUGGGAGCACGCUUAGGCGUGUGACUGCGUACCUUUUGUAUAAUGGGUCAGCGACUUAUAUUCUGUAGCAAGGUUAACCGAAUAGGGGAGCCGAAGGGAAACCGAGUCUUAACUGGGCGUUAAGUUGCAGGGUAUAGACCCGAAACCCGGUGAUCUAGCCAUGGGCAGGUUGAAGGUUGGGUAACACUAACUGGAGGACCGAACCGACUAAUGUUGAAAAAUUAGCGGAUGACUUGUGGCUGGGGGUGAAAGGCCAAUCAAACCGGGAGAUAGCUGGUUCUCCCCGAAAGCUAUUUAGGUAGCGCCUCGUGAAUUCAUCUCCGGGGGUAGAGCACUGUUUCGGCAAGGGGGUCAUCCCGACUUACCAACCCGAUGCAAACUGCGAAUACCGGAGAAUGUUAUCACGGGAGACACACGGCGGGUGCUAACGUCCGUCGUGAAGAGGGAAACAACCCAGACCGCCAGCUAAGGUCCCAAAGUCAUGGUUAAGUGGGAAACGAUGUGGGAAGGCCCAGACAGCCAGGAUGUUGGCUUAGAAGCAGCCAUCAUUUAAAGAAAGCGUAAUAGCUCACUGGUCGAGUCGGCCUGCGCGGAAGAUGUAACGGGGCUAAACCAUGCACCGAAGCUGCGGCAGCGACACUGUGUGUUGUUGGGUAGGGGAGCGUUCUGUAAGCCUGCGAAGGUGUGCUGUGAGGCAUGCUGGAGGUAUCAGAAGUGCGAAUGCUGACAUAAGUAACGAUAAAGCGGGUGAAAAGCCCGCUCGCCGGAAGACCAAGGGUUCCUGUCCAACGUUAAUCGGGGCAGGGUGAGUCGACCCCUAAGGCGAGGCCGAAAGGCGUAGUCGAUGGGAAACAGGUUAAUAUUCCUGUACUUGGUGUUACUGCGAAGGGGGGACGGAGAAGGCUAUGUUGGCCGGGCGACGGUUGUCCCGGUUUAAGCGUGUAGGCUGGUUUUCCAGGCAAAUCCGGAAAAUCAAGGCUGAGGCGUGAUGACGAGGCACUACGGUGCUGAAGCAACAAAUGCCCUGCUUCCAGGAAAAGCCUCUAAGCAUCAGGUAACAUCAAAUCGUACCCCAAACCGACACAGGUGGUCAGGUAGAGAAUACCAAGGCGCUUGAGAGAACUCGGGUGAAGGAACUAGGCAAAAUGGUGCCGUAACUUCGGGAGAAGGCACGCUGAUAUGUAGGUGAAGUCCCUCGCGGAUGGAGCUGAAAUCAGUCGAAGAUACCAGCUGGCUGCAACUGUUUAUUAAAAACACAGCACUGUGCAAACACGAAAGUGGACGUAUACGGUGUGACGCCUGCCCGGUGCCGGAAGGUUAAUUGAUGGGGUCAGCGCAAGCGAAGCUCUUGAUCGAAGCCCCGGUAAACGGCGGCCGUAACUAUAACGGUCCUAAGGUAGCGAAAUUCCUUGUCGGGUAAGUUCCGACCUGCACGAAUGGCGUAAUGAUGGCCAGGCUGUCUCCACCCGAGACUCAGUGAAAUUGAACUCGCUGUGAAGAUGCAGUGUACCCGCGGCAAGACGGAAAGACCCCGUGAACCUUUACUAUAGCUUGACACUGAACAUUGAGCCUUGAUGUGUAGGAUAGGUGGGAGGCUUUGAAGUGUGGACGCCAGUCUGCAUGGAGCCGACCUUGAAAUACCACCCUUUAAUGUUUGAUGUUCUAACGUUGACCCGUGAUCCGGGUUGCGGACAGUGUCUGGUGGGUAGUUUGACUGGGGCGGUCUCCUCCUAAAGAGUAACGGAGGAGCACGAAGGUUGGCUAAUCCUGGUCGGACAUCAGGAGGUUAGUGCAAUGGCAUAAGCCAGCUUGACUGCGAGCGUGACGGCGCGAGCAGGUGCGAAAGCAGGUCAUAGUGAUCCGGUGGUUCUGAAUGGAAGGGCCAUCGCUCAACGGAUAAAAGGUACUCCGGGGAUAACAGGCUGAUACCGCCCAAGAGUUCAUAUCGACGGCGGUGUUUGGCACCUCGAUGUCGGCUCAUCACAUCCUGGGGCUGAAGUAGGUCCCAAGGGUAUGGCUGUUCGCCAUUUAAAGUGGUACGCGAGCUGGGUUUAGAACGUCGUGAGACAGUUCGGUCCCUAUCUGCCGUGGGCGCUGGAGAACUGAGGGGGGCUGCUCCUAGUACGAGAGGACCGGAGUGGACGCAUCACUGGUGUUCGGGUUGUCAUGCCAAUGGCACUGCCCGGUAGCUAAAUGCGGAAGAGAUAAGUGCUGAAAGCAUCUAAGCACGAAACUUGCCCCGAGAUGAGUUCUCCCUGACUCCUUGAGAGUCCUGAAGGAACGUUGAAGACGACGACGUUGAUAGGCCGGGUGUGUAAGCGCAGCGAUGCGUUGAGCUAACCGGUACUAAUGAACCGUGAGGCUUAACCUUACAACGCCGAAGGUGUUU
Molecule: ribosomal RNA, 2438 nt
Filed under: Escherichia coli
Lineage: Bacteria; Pseudomonadati; Pseudomonadota; Gammaproteobacteria; Enterobacterales; Enterobacteriaceae
Description: partial 23S ribosomal RNA
Rfam family: Bacterial large subunit ribosomal RNA
Source: RNAcentral